RNAcentral lists this ribosomal RNA (460 nucleotides) under uncultured bacterium. Its description in RNAcentral is "partial 16S ribosomal RNA". It matches the Rfam family "Bacterial small subunit ribosomal RNA", at positions 338 to 795 of the family's 1533-position model. The record is from RNAcentral.
CCUACGGGUGGCAGCAGUGAGGAAUAUUGGUCAAUGGACGAGAGUCUGAACCAGCCAAGCAGCGUGAAGGAUGACUGCCCUAUGGGUUGUAAACUGCUUUUAUAUGGGAAUAAAAUGCUCUACGGGUGGGAUUUUGUAUGUACGAUAUGAAUAAGGAUCGGCUAACUCCGUGCCAGCAGCCGCGGUAAUACGGAGGAUCCGAGCGUUAUCCGGAUUUAUUGGGUUUAAAGGGGGCGUAGGUGGUUUGUUAAGUUAGUUGUGAAAGUUUGCGGCUCAACCGUAAAGUUGCCGUUGAUACUGGCAGACUAGAGAUCGGUAGAGGUAGGCGGAAUGCGUAGUGUAGCGGUGAAAUGCUUAGAUAUCACGCAGAACACCGAUUGCGAAGGCAGCUUACUGGGCCGCAACUGACACUGAGGCACGAAAGUGUGGGGAUCGAACAGGAUUAGAUACCCGAGUAGUC